RNAcentral lists this ribosomal RNA (450 nucleotides) under uncultured bacterium. Its description in RNAcentral is "partial 16S ribosomal RNA". It matches the Rfam family "Bacterial small subunit ribosomal RNA", at positions 354 to 796 of the family's 1533-position model. The record is from RNAcentral.
GUGGGGAAUUUUGGACAAUGGGCGCAAGCCUGAUCCAGCAAUGCCGCGUGCAGGAAGAAGGCCUUCGGGUUGUAAACUGCUUUUGUACGGAACGAAACGGUCCUGGUUAAUACCUGGGGCUAAUGACGGUACCGUAAGAAUAAGCACCGGCUAACUACGUGCCAGCAGCCGCGGUAAUACGUAGGGUGCAAGCGUUAAUCGGAAUUACUGGGCGUAAAGCGUGCGCAGGCGGUUUUGUAAGACAGGCGUGAAAUCCCCGGGCUCAACCUGGGAGUUGCGCUUGUGACUGCAAGGCUGGAGUGCGGCAGAGGGGGAUGGAAUUCCGCGUGUAGCAGUGAAAUGCGUAGAUAUGCGGAGGAACACCGAUGGCGAAGGCAAUCCCCUGGGCCUGUACUGACGCUCAUGCACGAAAGCGUGGGGAGCAAACAGGAUUAGAAACCCCUGUAGUCC